GACGAACGCUGGCGGCGUGCUUAACACAUGCAAGUCGAACGGUAAGGCCCCAGCUUGCUGGGGUACACGAGUGGCGAACGGGUGAGUAACACGUGGGUGACCUGCCCCGCACUUCGGGAUAAGCCUGGGAAACUGGGUCUAAUACCGGAUAGGACCGCACCGUGAGGGUGUGGUGGAAAGUUUUUCGGUGUGGGAUGGGCCCGCGGCCUUUCAGCUUGUUGGUGGGGUAAUGGCCUACCAAGGCGGCGACGGGUAGCCGGCCUGAGAGGGUGGACGGCCACAUUGGGACUGAGACACGGCCCAGACUCCUACGGGAGGCAGCAGUGGGGAAUAUUGCACAAUGGGCGGAAGCCUGAUGCAGCGACGCCGCGUGGGGGAUGACGGCCUUCGGGUUGUAAACUCCUUUCACCAUCGACGAAGGUUUUCUGACGGUAGAUGGAGAAGAAGCACCGGCUAACUACGUG
Molecule: ribosomal RNA, 464 nt
Filed under: uncultured bacterium
Lineage: Bacteria
Description: partial 16S ribosomal RNA
Rfam family: Bacterial small subunit ribosomal RNA
Source: RNAcentral